UGCUAGGCGGGAUGCCGCGUAUGGGAAGUUCGCAGAGUGGCUUACGGCUCGUUCAAGUACCUAUUGAACAUAGUCCAAGUACCCAUAGAGGGUGUAAGGCCCGUUCGACGAGUCGUAAGUGUCUCCCGCGUUCUUCUCGAGAGUCGGGUUGCUUGAAAAUGCAGCCCUAAGAGGUGGUAAACUCCAUCUAAGGCUAAAUACUACCACGAGACCGAUAGCGAACAAGUACCGCGAGGGAAAGUUGAAAAGAACUUUGAAGAGAGAGUUCAAUAGAGCGUGAAACUGCCACGAGGUUAAAGCGGAUGGACAGUCGUGGCAGAACGGGGGGAUUCAGCUCCCCGGACGUUUGGGAGGCCCUCACGACGUGACGACCGACUCCUCGGCAUUCUCUUCUGGUACUUCGUUGCCAGGGUUUGUGUAGGGGAGGUUCAAACUGGCGUCCGUCGAGAGAGUUAGUCUCCUCGUCACAGGGGGGUUGUACCUUUCACCUUAGUAAGCCGUCGCGGGCGUUGCGAGCGUUGUCAAUCAAACCCUGAGUUCGGGAACCGAUCCUUAAAGCCUCUUUCUUUCUCUCUCUCACGAGAGUGAGGGAGGGGUGAGUACGGGCCGGGGACGCUCCAGGGAAUUUAGGACGGACCUCGCGACGUUUCAAAUUAGGAGACGGGUCGGUCUUUCUGAAUAUCAUCGGAGGGAUAGGGGGGUAUGUGUUCAUCACUAUCCCCCGACCCCCCUCGAUUAAGCGUUCCGACCCGUGCGCGGCGCAUAUACGGCGCACGUCCAUCCGUCCCGUCUUGAAACACGGACCAAGGAGUCUAGCAAGUACGCGAGUCAUAAGGGUUCACUAAACCUUAGAUGGCGUAACGAAAGUAAUGUUGUUAUCGUUCUCGUAACGAGAGCAAUGGGUUAUCAAAAAACCCGAGUUGGACCGAUCCCCUCGGAAAUGCCUCGUUAGAACCCCUCUCCGGGGGGCGUUCUCUCGCGGCCGCUGCCGACUAAUGAGGGGCGCAGGUCCGGGGCCCGCCAUUCAUAUCCUCUUUCUCUCUAUAUAUAUACUUGAGAAGACGGUAGGCGGGUUCCAAGAGCGUACGUGCUAGUACCCGAAAGAUGGUGAUCUAUGCCUGGCCAGGAUGAAGCCAGAGGAAACUCUGGUGGAGGUCCGUAGCGGUUCUGACGUGCAAAUCG
Molecule: ribosomal RNA, 1182 nt
Filed under: Stenosoma spinosum
Lineage: Eukaryota; Metazoa; Arthropoda; Malacostraca; Isopoda; Idoteidae
Description: eukaryotic LSU rRNA
Rfam family: Eukaryotic large subunit ribosomal RNA
Source: RNAcentral